Long non-coding RNA from Sitophilus oryzae (rice weevil), 1730 nucleotides. RefSeq lists it as uncharacterized. The record is from RefSeq and is a predicted model, not a curated record. NCBI's taxonomy places the organism in Eukaryota, Metazoa, Arthropoda, Insecta, Coleoptera, Curculionidae. The transcript is spliced from 3 exons.
AGAUUUGAGACUUUUGCAAAAAACAACAGAUAUUUCUCAGACUUUCUGGUUAUGUACUUACUAUAUCAUAUAAGUAAACAAUGUUUUAUGUUCUGUUUUGUAAAUACAUCAGUUGAAUGAGAGCAUACUCGCAGAAUGCUAUAUUUAAACUCAUAGUAGCACAGUUAGAGCUUUAUUUUGUUACAACCGCAAUUUUAGUACAUUUAUAACUAUCUUUUGUUUAAUUGCUUAUAAAUAUUACAAUAAUGUGAAUAUAGGAUGAAGGUUUUUAAGAAAAAUUAAUUGAACAUUGUUAUCUUUUUUUCCUAGACAUCGAUCACCGGGAUCAUUAGCCAUGGACUACACGUUACGGAUAAAUCCUUUACAAGGAUAAUUGAAAAAUUUAAAUUAACAUGCACAUUUUAAGUUGAGUGAUAAAAAGAUCAAAAACAAACCCAAAAAUGUAGAGAAAAUCAAACAAGAAAAGUAGCUAAAUUUCUGCGAAUUUCACCACGUAUCUGGAAUGUACUUCUUUCUAUCAUAUAUUAAGGACAUUCACAUAUAAUGUGUGUACUGUCAACUCAACAUCACAGACUAUGCACAUUAGAGGCAUUUUGCCUUUAAGCAGAUAUGCAUGUGUCACUGCAGUAUGCCCAAUACGAAGACAUAAGGAUAUUGAGCUUGCUGAGCAGUUUCACCUGCCAUUGUGCUGCCAAGGACAUUAGUGUGGCUUGGGAUCCAUAGUAACACGAUCUUGGACAAAUACGUCAUUAAUUUUAGACACGAUCUCUACAGAGUCAGAGACAAUUAUCACUCUAGUUUGAUUGUAUUCCUCGAUACCAUAGGAUAAGGCUUUUCAAAUAGCAAAAUGUUCUGUGAAGAAAGCUGAUGCUUCAUGUCCCAAAGUCGAUUGAAAAGCUGACCCGUUGAUAGUAUUUGCACAUCCAGCAUCAGUUGUGGAUCUAGUAUUUUCUGGAACUGUUGUUGGUAUAUUUCAGGUGACAUAUUCUUUGACAUAUUAGCCAUGGAGGAUUUUCAUGAGGGAUUUCAUUGAUUAUCAUAGGCAGAUGUUCUUUUUAUCUAUGACGGGAUAGCAUUGUUUCUCUUACUAUACUGCUAGGAUUUGCCAAUGCCGAAGUGAGGUAAAUUGCGCUAACUUCUUCCUUCUGUAUUUUUAAGGAGCUCUAUUCCCGCUUCAGCACAUAUAGACUAUGUGCGGAGCUUGUGUAAAAAGCUCCAAGAUCUUGUUGCUGUUGACCUUCGUAAGAUGCAUUAUUGAGUCACAAGUUCUCAUCUAAAAGAUAUUAACUAUCAUUAUAAACAUUAACGGAGCUCAACUGACUCAACGUUACCUAAGUCACGAAUCCAGUUUGUCUUAAAACACGUAAUAUCAUUCGUCUCAUUUAUUAAUAAAUUAUUAUUACCUAAUUAAAGAUUUAUUAAAUCGAAUUAGAUUAUUAAAUUGCCAUCACAAUCUAAAAAGCAUUAUUGCUAAGGUGGCAUUUAAAUUUUAUUAAUUUUUAUCAUAUCAAAAAUGAAGCAAUACUAUAAAGUUAUUUAAUUGGUCAAUUAUAAAGGCAUUACAUAACCUAAACUCAUUGACCCAUAUUUGAAUAAGGUGAAAUUGAUAUUAUUGUUGGGCAUUAUGACAAAUUAGUGUAAUUACGUAUUGUCAAAUGAAUAUGAAAAUUAAACCAGACACAUAACAAAUAGUGUGAUUUAUUUAUUUAUGCUAUUUUAUGAAUCAUUUG